Non-coding RNA from Paramuricea clavata, 230 nucleotides. The record is from the annotation of a GenBank genome assembly. NCBI's taxonomy places the organism in Eukaryota, Metazoa, Cnidaria, Anthozoa, Malacalcyonacea, Plexauridae.
UGAUUGCAAUGAAUACAUAAUUAAUUUAAAUACGUUCCGUUGCUGCAUGCAUGUAUUUCUAGUAUAUAUUCGUACAUUCUAUACACUCUGAAUGUUCAUUUUCCUAUAUACUCAAAUAUUCAUGUUAUUACCAUACAUAUUCAUAUUCAAACUACACUGUAAAACUCAAUAUUCAAUAUUGAACAUGUUGCCCUCGGUUCCAGUCAAUAAAUGUCAAAUACCAUCUGCUG